UACGUAGGGUGCAAGCGUUGUCCGGAAUUAUUGGGCGUGAAGGGCUCGUAGGCGGUCCGUCACGUCGGGAGUGAAAUCCUGGGGCUUAACCCCAGAACUGCUUCCGAUACGGGCAGACUAGAGGUAGGUAGGGGAGAAUGGAAUUCCUGGUGUAGCGGUGGAAUGCGCAGAUAUCGCUUGGAACGCCGAAGGUGAAAACAGGCUGCUGGGGUUGCGCCGACGCUGAGACACGAAAGCCAGGGGAGCAAACGGG
Molecule: ribosomal RNA, 253 nt
Filed under: uncultured bacterium
Lineage: Bacteria
Description: partial 16S ribosomal RNA
Rfam family: Bacterial small subunit ribosomal RNA
Source: RNAcentral